CGAGUAGCAUGGGGCACGUGAAAUCCCGUGUGAAUCUGCGAGGACCACCUCGUAAGGCUAAAUAUUCCUAAAUGACCGAUAGCGCAUAGUACCGUGAGGGAAAGGUGAAAAAGGAGGAUACUCCCAGUGAAAAGAACCUGAAACUUAAUGCUAUAAUCUGUUGGAGCUUUUAUAGUGACAGCGUGCCUUUUGCAUAAUGAGUCAGCGACUUUGUAUGGAUGGCGAGCUUAAACCGUUAGGUGUAGGCGUAGUGAAAUCGAAAAAUAAAAAACCAGUCAUCUGUGCAAAACCCGAAACUGAGUGAUCUAACCAUGAACAGGCUGAAGUUUUGAUGGCAACAUCUUUCUAAGGGCCGAACCCGUGUAUGUGGCAAAAUACUGGGAUGAUUUGUGGUUAGGGGUGAAAGGCCAAUCAAACUGAGAGAUAG
This 427-nucleotide ribosomal RNA is filed under the name Pelagomonas calceolata. Its description in RNAcentral is "partial Bacterial large subunit ribosomal RNA". It matches the Rfam family "Bacterial large subunit ribosomal RNA", at positions 409 to 848 of the family's 2925-position model. Lineage: Eukaryota; Pelagophyceae; Pelagomonadales; Pelagomonadaceae. The record is from RNAcentral.